RNAcentral lists this ribosomal RNA (460 nucleotides) under uncultured bacterium. RNAcentral's name for it is "partial 16S ribosomal RNA". It matches the Rfam family "Bacterial small subunit ribosomal RNA", at positions 338 to 795 of the family's 1533-position model. The record is from RNAcentral.
CCUACGGGUGGCAGCAGUGAGGAAUAUUGGUCAAUGGGCGGAAGCCUGAACCAGCCAAGUAGCGUGCGGGAUGAAGGCCCUACGGGUUGUAAACUGCUUUUGUACGGGGAUAACAUGCUCCACUUGUGCCUGUCUGUAUGUACCUUGUGAAUAAGGGCCGGCUAAAUCCGUGCCAGCAGCCGCGGUAAUACGGAGGGCCCGAGCGUUAUCCGGAUUUAUUGGGUUUAAAGGGAGCGUAGGGGGGGGGUUAAGUCAGGUGUAGAAUUCGGCGGCUCAAACGGAGAAGGGCAUUUGAGACUGGAAGCCUGGAGUUCAGAACAGGCAGGCGGAAUUCGUGGUGUAGCGGUGAAAUGCAUAGAUAUCACGAAGAACCCCGAUUGCGAAGGCAGCCUGCCAAGGUGCGACUGACGCUGAGGCUCGAAGGUGCGGGUAUCAAACAGGAUUAGAUACCCCUGUAGUC